ACGACCAGUCACACGGGCANUGAGACACGGGCCCGACUCCUACGGGAGGCAGCAGUAAGGAAUAUUGGUCAAUGGACGCNAGUCUGAACCAGCCAUGCCGCGUGAAGGAUGAAGGUCCUCUGGAUUGUAAACUUCUUUUAUAGGGGACGAAAAAAGGGAAUUCUUUCUCACUUGACGGUACCCUAGGAAUAAGCACCGGCUAACUCCGUGCCAGCAGCCGCGGUAAUACGGAGGGUGCAAGCGUUAUCCGGAUUUACUGGGUUUAAAGGGUGCGUAGGUGGGUCUGUAAGUCAGUGGUGAAAUCUCCGGGCUUAACCCGGAAACUGCCAUUGGUACUAUAGGUCUUGAAUACUCUGGAGGUAAGCGGAAUAUGUCAUGUAGCGGUGAAAUGCUUAGAUAUGACAUAGAACACCAAUUGCGAAGGCAGCUUACUACGGGGUCAUUGACACUGAGGCACGAAAGCGUGGGGAUCAAACAGGAUUAGAUACCCUGGUAGUCCACGCCCUAAACGAUGGAUACUCGACAUCAGCGAUACACUGUUGGUGUCUGAGCGAAGGCAUUAAGUAUCCCACCUGGGAAGUACGAUCGCAAGAUUGAAACUCAAAGNAA
This 609-nucleotide ribosomal RNA is filed under the name uncultured bacterium. RNAcentral's name for it is "bacterial SSU rRNA". It matches the Rfam family "Bacterial small subunit ribosomal RNA", at positions 300 to 909 of the family's 1533-position model. The record is from RNAcentral.